This is an unclassified non-coding RNA of Papio anubis (olive baboon), 148 nucleotides long. It matches the Rfam family "Metazoan signal recognition particle RNA". Rfam says of the family: The signal recognition particle (SRP) is a universally conserved ribonucleoprotein. It is involved in the co-translational targeting of proteins to membranes. The record is from Ensembl. Lineage: Eukaryota; Metazoa; Chordata; Mammalia; Primates; Cercopithecidae.
GCUGGGUGUGGUGACGCAUGCCUGUAAUCCCAGCUACUGGGGAGGCUGAGGCAGGAGAAUUGCUUGAACCCAGGAGACGGAGGUUGCAGUGAGUCAAGAUUGCACCACUGCACUCCAGCCUGGGUGACAGAGUGAAACUCUGUCUCAG